UUCCUGGGGAUGAUGUCGAAUUGCUAGCUUCUAUCUAUAAUAAUCUGGUGCAACUCGGCAUUCAGAGUGAUUAUUAUAGCCUACUCCUCGAAACUGUCAAUACAUUGUGGGGGGAGGCUAAUGAGGCUAAUAUAGCCAACCUAUAAUCCUGCCUGGGAAGGAGAGAAAGCGAAGGUGAAGCUGCUCCCUAGGCACAGAUCGAAUACCCCAACAGACUCGAUCGAGUGAGUGGAAAGCCAGAAUGGCUUGGU
This 251-nucleotide long non-coding RNA is filed under the name Gossypium barbadense (sea-island cotton). RNAcentral describes it as "long non-coding RNA (GBAR_LNC003136)". The record is from RNAcentral. Lineage: Eukaryota; Viridiplantae; Streptophyta; Magnoliopsida; Malvales; Malvaceae.